Molecule: unclassified non-coding RNA, 263 nt
Filed under: Neoroussoella solani
Lineage: Eukaryota; Fungi; Ascomycota; Dothideomycetes; Pleosporales; Thyridariaceae
Description: Roussoella solani partial internal transcribed spacer region
Rfam family: Eukaryotic small subunit ribosomal RNA (bases 1-46)
Source: RNAcentral
AAGUCGUAACAAGGUUUCCGUAGGUGAACCUUCGGAAGGAUCAUUACCAUAACGCGGUCGCCCCGUGAUCCCCCCUUCUCCAAUUGCUGGGGGGUUAGGGCGGCCACACGCGUUCUUACCACCCUUGAUUUUGAGCACCUUCAUGUUUCCUCGGCAGGGACGCCUGCCAGCGAGGACCCCCAAAAAACUUCUUGCAGUUUGCAGUAUUUGUCUGAAAACAAACAUAAUAAUCAAAACUUUCAACAAUGGAUCUCUUGGUUCUG